This is a non-coding RNA of Stegodyphus mimosarum, 73 nucleotides long. The record is from Rfam. Lineage: Eukaryota; Metazoa; Arthropoda; Arachnida; Araneae; Eresidae.
GCCUUCGUGGUGUAAUGGUCAGCACACUGAGCCGGUAUUUCACAGGUCCGCGGUUCGAUUCCCAGCGAAGGCG